GGGCUGGGGCUCAGUGGUAGAGCACUUGCCUAGCAUGUGUGAGGCCCUGGGUUCGAUCCUCAGCACCACA
Molecule: transfer RNA, 70 nt
Filed under: Marmota monax (woodchuck)
Lineage: Eukaryota; Metazoa; Chordata; Mammalia; Rodentia; Sciuridae
Description: tRNA.Ala
Source: RNAcentral